UCUCUGGUGGUCCAGUUGUUAGGACUUGGUGCUUUGAUUACUGGGACCUGGGUUCAAUCCCUGGUCUGGGAA
This 72-nucleotide transfer RNA is filed under the name Bos taurus (domestic cattle). It matches the Rfam family "tRNA". From Rfam's summary of the family: Transfer RNA (tRNA) molecules are approximately 80 nucleotides in length. Their secondary structure includes four short double-helical elements and three loops (D, anti-codon, and T loops). Further hydrogen bonds mediate the characteristic L-shaped molecular structure. tRNAs have two regions of fundamental functional importance: the anti-codon, which is responsible for specific mRNA codon recognition, and the 3' end, to which the tRNAs corresponding amino acid is attached (by aminoacyl-tRNA synthetases). tRNAs cope with the degeneracy of the genetic code in two manners: having more than one tRNA (with a specific anti-codon) for a particular amino acid; and 'wobble' base-pairing, i.e. permitting non-standard base-pairing at the 3rd anti-codon position. Lineage: Eukaryota; Metazoa; Chordata; Mammalia; Artiodactyla; Bovidae. RNAcentral also lists the same sequence under 4 other names. The record is from Rfam by way of RNAcentral.